Long non-coding RNA from Toxorhynchites rutilus septentrionalis, 674 nucleotides. RefSeq lists it as uncharacterized. The transcript is spliced from 3 exons. The record is from RefSeq and is a predicted model, not a curated record. Lineage: Eukaryota; Metazoa; Arthropoda; Insecta; Diptera; Culicidae.
CAUCUUGGAUUUUGUAUGUAAACAAUCUGCAAUAUUUUGCAAUAUCUUUUUUUUUGCUCUUUGUGUGUGGAAUUGUUUUGGUGGCAAUAAGAACAUUGAGAAGUUGAAAGAUCAAGAGAAUAAAUCGACUCUCGGUGUCGGUUGGUGAUGGAGAUAUUUUUCCCGCGUUUUUCAGUUAGAGACGUCGGUUAAUCGUUCGAUUAAUCCAAAUAAUCGAAAAUCUGCAUCAGUAAUUUUAUAUCGAAUGAUGAAAAAUCAAAUGCAAAAUAUGUUUAACCGUCGGUGUUUCGUCGAAAUUCAUCGAAUAUGCUAAACCAUUUACGGUUGAAGCAUAAAAAUGAUUCCCUGCUGGUGGAGGAUACUGGGAUGAAGAAUUCAGGGUCUGCAGAAGUAACAUGCGGACUUGAAAAAGGUGGUCUCAACUCAUGUUCUAAAAUAGUAGUAUUCAAACUCCGGGUGCCAAGGAAAAUAUACCCUACUAGUGGUCAAUGAUUCUAUAAAUAUACUUUUUUUGAACUAGUAGUUUUAGGGAAAAAGCAGGAAAAUACACACAAAUCAAAUAUUUCAACAACAUUCGAAGAAUAGGUAAUUUUGAACAGAAAACAUUUUAUGUUGGUAUAACAAAAAUAUUGUGCAUCAUUUCCAUGGUGUUCUCUCUUUUCAAUCGUCCUCAA